This 92-nucleotide transfer RNA is filed under the name Chelatococcus composti. RNAcentral describes it as "tRNA-Ser". It matches the Rfam family "tRNA". From Rfam's summary of the family: Transfer RNA (tRNA) molecules are approximately 80 nucleotides in length. Their secondary structure includes four short double-helical elements and three loops (D, anti-codon, and T loops). Lineage: Bacteria; Pseudomonadati; Pseudomonadota; Alphaproteobacteria; Hyphomicrobiales; Chelatococcaceae. RNAcentral also lists the same sequence under 1 other name. The record is from RNAcentral.
GGAGACGUGGCCGAGUGGCUGAAGGCGGCGGUUUGCUAAACCGUUAUACGUGGUAACACGUAUCAGGGGUUCGAAUCCCCUCGUCUCCGCCA